CGGCUGCCGAUAGGUCUGCUACAUUCUCCACAGAUGCAAUAACUGCUUUCACUAUGUGCUUGAAAGCCCUAGUAACCAUCUCAUGGAUGCAAAGUGAUUGUAUGUGAGGAAGCUCAUCUGCCAGUUCAACCACUCGUCCCAGAGAGCACAUCUGCAGUCCCCUUAAAUGCAUGAAGUCAGUCAGUGUACGGCCAUCAACAGGGGAAAGUUCAAGUGAGCCAAAGUCUGUUACCAGCUUUGGCAAAGCAAUUUCAUCAUAAU
This 261-nucleotide unclassified non-coding RNA is filed under the name Hevea brasiliensis (rubber tree). Lineage: Eukaryota; Viridiplantae; Streptophyta; Magnoliopsida; Malpighiales; Euphorbiaceae. The record is from RNAcentral.